This 385-nucleotide ribosomal RNA is filed under the name uncultured bacterium. RNAcentral's name for it is "bacterial SSU rRNA". It matches the Rfam family "Bacterial small subunit ribosomal RNA", at positions 28 to 417 of the family's 1533-position model. The record is from RNAcentral.
GAUGAACGCUAGCGGCAGGCUUAACACAUGCAAGUCGAGGGGUAUGCUUCUUCGGAAGCAGAGACCGGCGCACGGGUGCGUAACGCGUAUGCAAUCUACCUUUUACAGAGGGAUAGCCCAGAGAAAUUUGGAUUAAUACCUCAUAGUAUUAUAGAAUGGCAUCAUUUUAUAAUUAAAGUCACAACGGUAAAAGAUGAGCAUGCGUCCCAUUAGCUAGUUGGAAGGUAACGGCUUACCAAGGCUACGAUGGGUAGGGGUCCUGAGAGGGAGAUCCCCCACACUGGUACUGAGACACGGACCAGACUCCUACGGGAGGCAGCAGUGAGGAAUAUUGGACAAUGGGCGCAAGCCUGAUCCAGCCAUGCCGCGUGCAGGAUGACGGUCC